This 425-nucleotide ribosomal RNA is filed under the name uncultured bacterium. RNAcentral's name for it is "bacterial SSU rRNA". It matches the Rfam family "Bacterial small subunit ribosomal RNA", at positions 541 to 968 of the family's 1533-position model. The record is from RNAcentral.
UUAUCCGGAUUUAUUGGGUUUAAAGGGAGCGUAGAUGGAUGUUUAAGUCAGUUGUGAAAGUUUGCGGCUCAACCGUAAAAUUGCAGUUGAUACUGGAUGUCUUGAGUGCAGUUGAGGCAGGCGGAAUUCGUGGUGUAGCGGUGAAAUGCUUAGAUAUCACGAAGAACUCCGAUUGCGAAGGCAGCCUGCUAAGCUGCAACUGACAUUGAGGCUCGAAAGUGUGGGUAUCAAACAGGAUUAGAUACCCUGGUAGUCCACACGGUAAACGAUGAAUACUCGCUGUUUGCGAUAUACGGCAAGCGGCCAAGCGAAAGCGUUAAGUAUUCCACCUGGGGAGUACGCCGGCAACGGUGAAACUCAAAGGAAUUGACGGGGGCCCGCACAAGCGGAGGAACAUGUGGUUUAAUUCGAUGAUACGCGAGGAA